AACGAACGCUGGCGGCAUGCCUAACACAUGCAAGUCGAACGAUCCCUUCGGGGAUAGUGGCGCACGGGUGCGUAACGCGUGGGAACCUGCCCUUAGGUUCGGAAUACCUCAGAGAAAUUUGAGCUAAUACCGGAUAAUGUCUUCGGACCAAAGAUUUAUCGCCUUUGGAUGGGCCCGCGUUGGAUUAGCUAGUUGGUGGGGUAAAGGCCUACCAAGGCGACGAUCCAUAGCUGGUCUGAGAGGAUGAUCAGCCACACUGGGACUGAGACACGGCCCAGACUCCUACGGGAGGCAGCAGUGGGGAAUAUUGGACAAUGGGCGGAAGCCUGAUGCAGCAAUGCCGCGAGAGUGAUGAAGGCCUUAGGGUUGUAAAGCUCUUUUACCCGGGAUGAUAAUGACAGUACCGGGAGAAUAAGCCCCGGCUAACUCCGUG
Molecule: ribosomal RNA, 433 nt
Filed under: uncultured bacterium
Lineage: Bacteria
Description: partial 16S ribosomal RNA
Rfam family: Bacterial small subunit ribosomal RNA
Source: RNAcentral